UUGCUAUAUUGAACACGCCUCUCUCCAGUUCACUUCUUCUCUGCGACUCCGUCUUUGUAACUCCACCUCUCCUGCGUUCAACAUCGACUCAUCUUCUUCGAAUCUUGACGCAGGGACAUAUAUAUACAUGAUGUUAAUUGGCCCCUCAGUGUCACCGGUUCUCUAAUCGGUGUCUCUGAUAGUGUGGGUGAUGGUGGGCUCAUUAUCGCAUAACACAUACAAGUUGUGGGGCAUUGGCAAUGGGCAUUGGAAUGUGUGGGUGUUGGUUUCAUUUCUGUUGGGAGGAAGGAAGAAGCAAACUCAGCAGAGCAGGUAAUCGAUUUGUUUCAUUGUGGUUCUGUGUGGUUUAUGUCUUGUUUAAAUUUCAAAAUCAGAAGCCAUUCAUUUUAGUUUAAUUGCAAUUUGCUUUAAUUUCGUGUAUUUCAUGUGGGUCUUUGAAUUGAGCCAUCUUCUUCUGGGCAUUGCAUUGAAGCAGAGAAGUAGGUCUAGGGAUUAGGGAUUAAUUAAUCACUCAACUCUUUGAACAAGGCUUUAAGGCUUUGAUGAUUUGACAUCUAUGUCACCAUGUUGGUGUGCUCUAGAGAGGCUAUAGGCGACAUCCUAGUUUAAUUCGAAUCAGGAAAUCAAACAUAACAACUAAUAUUCUAGAAAGUCGAGAGGCUUGACAUGAUUAAUUACGUUUCUGUGCAAGAUCAGUCCUUCGGACUUUAGGAUGAUCAGUUACCUCUCAUUGUCAUACUACCCAAUGAUGGCCAAAAUUACCUUAAAUCACAUGUGGAGGCUGCCCACAUUGCACCUUGGUUGAAGGAAUACAUGGUGCAUUCUGUGUCAUUCUUGUGAAGAUGCUUCGUCAUCAAAUUGCAGAAAAUAAUUUGAUUCACGGUUGAUUUUUUUAACAUAUAAAUUUUACCAGAAACAAACUUUCAUUGAAGGAAAAAGAAAAGAGUACAGAAACAGGAAACAAGGUGUCUUCCUGCCCAUAAGACCUGACUAGAAAUCUUUAUGAAGUUUAAAACAUUGCCAAAAAAAAAAAAAAAAACAUUCAAAACAGUACAGACUCUGAGACACUACAGCUUUCCAACAUAUUCAUGGUUGGAUCUGAAUAAAUUUUUUGAAUGCUUAUUCUUGUGUCUUUAAUACAAGAUUAUUUUUGACUUCGUUUUUGGUCCUUUUUUAGGAUGGAAAUUUAAGGACAUUGAUAAUUCAGAACCAUUCCCGAAACUAAUAGUGAACCAGUAAAAGUAGUCGUUGCUGAUAACCUCCCGAUAUAGGUUUUGCUUGCUUUUGCACAUUCUGAUAUAGUCAGGUAUUUUAUUUCCAAUUUGUUCUUACGAAACAAAUCAGAGGUGGUGAUCUUGGGGAUCUUAGCUAG
Molecule: long non-coding RNA, 1372 nt
Organism: Prunus dulcis (almond)
Lineage: Eukaryota; Viridiplantae; Streptophyta; Magnoliopsida; Rosales; Rosaceae
Exons: 3
Source: RefSeq, a predicted model, not a curated record